CAAGGAUGGGCCGAGGCUCGCCAAUCCGAGAACAGUAUAAUAUAAUACAGGGAUGAACUGAAUCUUCAAAUGAAUCUUUCUGUUAUUUUUUUUUUCAAUUUUCCAUACUCUCACAACUUUUUUGUACCAACUUUUUUUGAUUCUUCAGCGUCUCUCUUCUUUGUGUUUUUGUCCUGUUACACACCGAUGACCAACUUUCCGUCACGUUCCUUUUACAUUUCAUAUGAAAUCAGAGCAACAGCUGCCGUGAUACCCUGAGGGAAGAGGAAACAACAGCUAUAGAUCAGUAUUUCACUGACAGACUGGAGAGGUGAGGUCAUGGAAAUGUGAAAUGAAAACAAAGUGCUUGUCUCGCAAUACAUCUUUAUUCGUAUUCAAGCUCAAGAUCGAGAAACAAGGGCUACUGUGUGCCAUAACAUGUACCCUGAGCCUUACUGCUGAUGUAUCUGUAACAAAAUAGGAGCUGACUCCAUCAUUUAUUUUUAUGUUUACUACUAUAUUGGUGAUUCCAUGAUUGAAGUGUCAUUGUGGUGUGGAUAUAUUACAAAUAUGUGUGUAAAGUAAAGCUAAUAUACAUUUUAAACAACAUAUUAUACAUUAAUUAAACAUACAAAACCUAAAAACAGGCACUUUACUUUGAAAUAUAACUUUAUUAUUUUUCCAUUAAUGGGUGAAUUUAUUUAUCGUUGUAUGAGGCCACGCCAUACCUCCAGCAGCCAGCAGAGAGCAGCAGCAGUGUACAGUGAGCGCAGCCGUUCAAGAGAAUUCACUUACCCAUAACCCUCCAGGCUGAUUAACCUGACCUGGAUUGCCUGCACCUGCCAGGCAGGGUAUUUAAGGGCAGCCUAAGUGGCUGUUCUGUGUCCCAUGUUUGUAGAGGAGAAACUGGUCCGGUCCGGUCCGGUCCGGUCCGGUCUGGUCCGGUCUCGUCUGGAACGAAGAGGCAAAAGAACUAUAAGGAUCAAAAAGAGAAGAAACUGAAAAAAGCUUUCUUGGAAAGAAGAGAAAACUAAGGAAGCCUAUUCCCUUCGAUGUCUCCUUUGCUUGGUUUUUCCCGCCUUUUCCCUCUACACUCUCAAAGCACAGAGAUCCCUGGUGUGAUCCUCGCUUGGGGCUUCCUAGUCAAAGUGCACUACUCUCACUCUUCCUGCAACCUUAUUACUUCUUCUAUAAACCCUGUUUGACCAUUAGCAUACAGGUGGUUUUCCACUGUGAUUGGGCCCACCUUAAUCUGUCCUGUUACAAUCAUCUCAUGUUUCAAACAUCCUUUUCCAUUAUCGGUUAUAAUGCUUAAAAUGAACGUCUUAGUUCAUUCAUUACAUUUUGCCAAGUCACAUAUUUAGCAGGAAGUUGAAAUUUCCUGAAGAUCACAUGAAGAAGGAGUUCUUCAUUCUUUAUUUUCUUGCAAUUAGCAUGGAUGCUAGCCAACCACAUUUUGUGUGUUUGCUAAUUCUAUGCUAAAAAAAAAAAAAAAAAUUCUCAACCAUGUUAUUUCAACCCUGUUACUCAUUUUAGAGCAAAAUACAGCAAAGGAAAGUUAAACAACACAAUUAUGGAAUCAUCCAUAGGCCAACAACCUUUUCGGUGGACGGUAACCAUUAGCAUUAACAUUUUCACAAAAUCUUCCGUUAAAGUUUUACCACUUAGCUCUAUGUCUAUAUGUGAGGUGUGUGACAUUAAGAGCUACAGAAUAACAAACUUAGAUUUUUAAUUGAAAGAAAGAAGGGAUAAGUGAGAAUUAGAAAUGACAAGUAACGUGCAGAAAUGUCACCUGUCCGUCAUCAGAAAACCCCGCCCACAGAGACUGUCCCUCAAAUAAACGAGAUAGACUCCACUGCACAAAUAAACUUCCAAGGUGUGGAGAUGGACCUGAUUCAAGUCCUUUUACAAUUCCUAACCCCUGUACGCUGUACAAUACCGAACAACACAUAUAACACAUUUAUCCAGGCUGAAACACACAGUUGCAUGUGUCCACCCCCAUGAACUUUUGGCUUGACUCCACUGGGAUAGGAGGAGCUAGAUCAGCUCCUGGACUUUUUG
This is a long non-coding RNA of Ictalurus punctatus (channel catfish), 2040 nucleotides long. Lineage: Eukaryota; Metazoa; Chordata; Actinopteri; Siluriformes; Ictaluridae. The record is from Ensembl.